GACGAACGCUGGCGGCGUGCUUAACACAUGCAAGUCGAACGGAAAGGCCCUGCUUUUGUGGGGUGCUCGAGUGGCGAACGGGUGAGUAACACGUGAGUAACCUGCCCUUGACUUUGGGAUAACUUCAGGAAACUGGGGCUAAUACCGGAUAGGAGCUCCUGCUGCAUGGUGGGGGUUGGAAAUUUUCGGCGGUUGGGGAUGGACUCGCGGCUUAUCAGCUUGUUGGUGGGGUAGUGGCUUACCAAGGCUUUGACGGGUAGCCGGCCUGAGAGGGUGACCGGCCACAUUGGGACUGAGAUACGGCCCAGACUCCUACGGGAGGCAGCAGUGGGGUAUAUUGCACAAUGGGCUGAAGCCUGAUGCAGCAACGCCGCGUGCGGGAUGACGGCCUUCGGGUUGUAAACCGCUUUCGCCUGUGACGAAGCGUGAGUGACGGUAAUGGGUAAAGAAGCACCGGCUAACUACGUG
This 468-nucleotide ribosomal RNA is filed under the name uncultured bacterium. RNAcentral describes it as "partial 16S ribosomal RNA". It matches the Rfam family "Bacterial small subunit ribosomal RNA", at positions 28 to 507 of the family's 1533-position model. The record is from RNAcentral.